UACGUAGGUGGCAAGCGUUACCCGGAUUUAUUGGGCGUAAAGGGAACGCAGGCGGUCUUUUAAGUCUGAUGUGAAAGCCUUCGGCUUAACCGGAGUAGUGCAUUGGAAACUGGGAGACUUGAGUGCAGAAGAGGAGAGUGGAACUCCAUGUGUAGCGGUGAAAUGCGUAGAUAUAUGGAAGAACACCAGUGGCGAAAGCGGCUCUCUGGUCUGUAACUGGCGCUGAGGUUCGAAAGCGUGGGUAGCAAACAGG
Molecule: ribosomal RNA, 253 nt
Filed under: uncultured bacterium
Lineage: Bacteria
Description: partial 16S ribosomal RNA
Rfam family: Bacterial small subunit ribosomal RNA
Source: RNAcentral